RNAcentral lists this ribosomal RNA (433 nucleotides) under uncultured bacterium. RNAcentral describes it as "partial 16S ribosomal RNA". It matches the Rfam family "Bacterial small subunit ribosomal RNA", at positions 28 to 507 of the family's 1533-position model. The record is from RNAcentral.
AACGAACGCUGGCGGCAUGCCUAACACAUGCAAGUCGAACGAGACCUCCGUGUCUAGGGGCGCAGGUGGGGGUAACGCCGGGGAACCUGCCCGUAGGUUCGGAAUACCUCCCCGAAGGGGGUCUUAAUACCGCUUGAGCUCAUCCGGCCAAGGAGUUUUCGCUUUUGGGUGGGGGUGGGUUGGUUUAGCUGGUUGGUAGGGUAAAAGCCGGCCAAGGGCAGGUUGCAGAGCUGGUCGGGGAGGAAGACCCGGCAGAAUGGGACUGCGGCACGGCCCAGACUGCUACGCGAGGCAGGAGUGGGGAAUAUUGGAGAAUGGGCGAAAGCGUGACCCAGCAAUGCCGCGUGUGUGAGGAAGGGCUUAGGGUUGUAAAGCUCUUUUACCCGGGAUGAUAAUGACAGUACCGGGAGAAUAAGCACCGGCUAACUACGUG